CCUGAGAUGGGGAUUAGGUGCUGCAGGUGGGAUUCGGUACCCAAGCUGCUAGCAAAGGAAGAUUGAGGGAUGCAGAGAUGUCCAACUUGAAGAAACAAUGAGGAAAACACUUUAUCCCGUUGAACUUCAGUACUGAAAGCAAAGAGGACCUUAACCUGCCAGUUGUCCCUCAACUACCAUGUGUGAUCCAAAGACAAAGGAGGAAGUUACUGGAAAGACUCUAAACUGACAUCAAGAGGAUUCAUAUUUCAUACCUAAUUGUCAUUCAGAUGGGUGCUUUAGGAAUAUUUCCAAGACCACGUUUGGCCCUGCUGCUGUUCUUGUCCACACGUGAUCAUCCAGAGCAACACUUGACGGAACAGAAAGCAAAGCCUGCACUGUAAUGUCUUCCGUCUUCUCCCCACAUACCAGAAACUUGAUCAUCUGCCAGUGAGUAAUAAAUGUAUUCUUUCAUGCA
RNAcentral lists this long non-coding RNA (457 nucleotides) under Struthio camelus australis. RNAcentral describes it as "lncRNA (ENSSCUG00000012304.1)". The record is from RNAcentral. Lineage: Eukaryota; Metazoa; Chordata; Aves; Struthioniformes; Struthionidae.